This is a long non-coding RNA of Anneissia japonica, 190 nucleotides long. RefSeq lists it as uncharacterized. Lineage: Eukaryota; Metazoa; Echinodermata; Crinoidea; Comatulida; Comatulidae. The transcript is spliced from 2 exons. The record is from RefSeq and is a predicted model, not a curated record.
GAAUUUUAUACCUGAAAACAUCCUUAAAGAGAGGCUUGACAAUGAUACUUUGGAGGCUGUCAAUGCUAUCAACAACAAGUUAGUUUAUAGCCAAAAAUAUGUGAAGUUGAAAACAAAACUGUUUUACAAACAGCAGAAGUUCAAUCUUUUACGAGAAGAAAGUGAAGGAUACAGCAAACUUGUAACUGAG